CACCAGACUCCUACGGGAGGCAGCAGUGGGGGAUAUUGCACAAUGGGGGGAACCCUGAUGCAGCGACGCCGCGUGGGUGAAGAAGCGCCUCGGCGCGUAAAGCCCUGUCAGCAGGGAAGAAAAUGACGGUACCUGAAGAAGAAGCCCCGGCUAACUACGUGCCAGCAGCCGCGGUAAUACGUAGGGGGCAAGCGUUAUCCGGAUUUACUGGGUGUAAAGGGAGCGUAGACGGCGAUGCAAGUCUGAAGUGAAAGGCGGGGGCCCAACCCCCGGACUGCUUUGGAAACUGUUAAGCUGGAGUACUGGAGAGGCAAGCGGAAUUCCUAGUGUAGCGGUGAAAUGCGUAGAUAUUAGGAGGAACACCAGUGGCGAAGGCGGCUUGCUGGACAGAGACUGACGUUGAGGCUCGAAAGCGUGGGGAGCAAACAGGAUUAGAUACCCUAGUC
This 446-nucleotide ribosomal RNA is filed under the name uncultured bacterium. RNAcentral describes it as "partial 16S ribosomal RNA". It matches the Rfam family "Bacterial small subunit ribosomal RNA", at positions 329 to 792 of the family's 1533-position model. The record is from RNAcentral.